GUAAUCGUUGAAUAAAACACAGGAAACAAUUUAUAACAUUUUGUGCACAAACAAACAAUUAUAUUCUAAGCUUGCUUAACCUCGUUCGAAGCUUAAACGUAAUUACCUUGUUGAAAAGUUUUUGUGAUCCGGUAAAAACUCACUAAUAUUUUCAGAGUCGCUUUAAUGAAAAACAGGAAACUCAUGAAUAUUCAUAUUUACUCCGCCCAGUGGCACCAACGGUGUGUUCCAAACAGGACAUAUCACCCUCCUAAGAGAACCUCGGAGUGAAAACAAUCAUGGCCGCCAAACUGAAGGGUUGUUCCAAACCGAAGUGCUCUAAACUGGUCACUUCAAAGGGCUCUUCGGAAUGAAGGAUUUCGAAGGGUACAACUGAUGGACACUUUGGGCCCCCAUGAUCCUUUGCACAGGGAAGUUGUUUGGCAUCACAGAGUUCGACUUCGCCAAUAAAUGCUUGGCUUAGGCUUGGCUCCCUCCAUGUGGGCUCCUGUGAUGAUAUUAUUAUCAGUCAUGCAUCGAAGAUGAAGGCGAUGUCGCCAUGGGGACAAUCUGAGAGUGACAGUCUAUUCCAAGUUCCAUUAUGCUGCCCCUCAAGAGGCCUCUAUGAGCGAAUAUGAUCUUUAUUAUCUCAAGAAUCAUUUUAAAUGUGUCACCAGUGACUAAAUGUGGAAUGUAAAAGCUUCUGCGAAGCACUUUCAUGGCAGACACUCGAUAAAGAGACGACGAACCAUUAUAAAACAUCGCCAGAAACAAUGGACAUGAAUUGUGGACAUGAACUGGGACACAGUACGGAGGUUAAUUGAGGUAAUUUUUUGUCUCUGGAAAUAAGUUUUUUGUUUGUUUGUUUGUUUGUUUGUUUUUGAAGAGAUAUAUUAAAGUUAAAAUUAGACUUGGGGUAGAAAAUAUAUAUUAUAAAUAAUUUUACAUUUUGUAGCACACUAUGCCAGCUAAAAUAACAAAGGAUUAUAUUUAUUUCCCUUAAUUAACAAAUUGGCUGGUGCGUCAUCAUCUGGCGGCUGUCUAUUGA
This is a long non-coding RNA of Cyprinus carpio (common carp), 1027 nucleotides long. The record is from Ensembl. Lineage: Eukaryota; Metazoa; Chordata; Actinopteri; Cypriniformes; Cyprinidae.